AGACUAUCCUGAGGUCCAACUGGCAACACACUGAACCCACAAAAAUAAAAGAGAAGAAAAGGCAGUCCAGAGCAUGUGGGUGGCACAGGAGGGGAGGAAACACUCAGCUGUAUCAUCCAACCAGUAAAUGAACACUCCGUGUGUUAUCCAUUAAACGAGGUUCAACUGGGAUAAGAUAGCCUACACUCUGAGUCUCAUUGCUAUUCUGGCUCCUGACUUGACAUUUCUCUCAUUCGUUCCAG
Perca flavescens (yellow perch) is the source of this 242-nucleotide long non-coding RNA. RefSeq lists it as uncharacterized. The record is from RefSeq and is a predicted model, not a curated record. NCBI's taxonomy places the organism in Eukaryota, Metazoa, Chordata, Actinopteri, Perciformes, Percidae. The transcript has 3 exons.